AUUGAACGCUGGCGGCAGGCCUAACACAUGCAAGUCGAACGAGCGGCGGACGGGUGAGUAAUGUAUGGGAAACUGCCUGAUGGAGGGGGAUAACUACUGGAAACGGUAGCUAAUACCGCAUACCAUCGGAUGUGCCCAGAUGGGAUUAGCUAGUAGGUGGGGUAAAGGCUCACCUAGGCGACGAUCCCUAGCUGGUCUGAGAGGAUGAUCAUCCAGACUGGAACGGAGACACGGUCCAGACUCCUACGGGAGGCAGCAGUGGGGAAUAUUGCACAAUGGGCUCAAGCCUGAUGCAGCCAUGCCGCGUGUAUGAAGAAGGCCUUCGGGUUGUAAAGUACUUUCAGCGGGGAGGCGUUACCCGCAGAAGAAGCACCGGCUAACUCCGUGCCAGCAGCCGCGGUAAUUC
Molecule: ribosomal RNA, 406 nt
Filed under: uncultured bacterium
Lineage: Bacteria
Description: partial 16S ribosomal RNA
Rfam family: Bacterial small subunit ribosomal RNA
Source: RNAcentral